UCAGGAAGGAUCGGCCGGAGACGUGGAGGUCGCACGUGGCAGCACCACCAGCCCAAUUCAACACUCCCUUGCCCAGCUGCCGCACCGCCACCGCCGCGGACACUCCUACUCGCCUCCCCAGCAAGCCACGCGCGCGUGCUCACUGCUCAGCUCGCAGACCCAGCCAUGGCGACGCCGACUCCGACCCCCACCUCGCCCGCUUCCAUCCGGGCGUCAGGCGGCCCUGGCGCUGGCGACCGAUGGGUGGUCCGCGCCCAGCCGGCGGCGGCCGAGCUGGUGGAGCGGUCGGUGACCACCAUCCGGUUCCUGGCCGUGGACGCGGUGGAGAAGGCCAAGUCCGGCCACCCGGGGCUCCCAAUGGGGUGCGCGCCGCUGGGCCACGUCCUCUUCGACGAGUUCCUCCGCUUCAACCCGGCCAACCACGCCUGGUUCGACCGCGACCGCUUCGUGCUCUCCGCCGGCCACGGCUGCAUGCUCCACUACGCGCUGCUCCACCUCGCCGGAUACCAAGGCGUCACGAUAGAUGACCUGAAAGCUUUCCGGCAGUGGGGGAGCAGAACUCCUGGUCAUCCAGAAAAUUUUGAAACAGAAAUCCUGAGGAGUACAAGGAGAGGUCCUACCAAGCGAUGUUACUUCCAGGAUUAGCAUCGAAGCCGGCGUCACACUGGGAUGGGAGAAGUAUAUCGGGCCGAAGGGCAAAGCAAUCGGCAUUGACCGUUUUGGUUCAAGUGCUCCUGCUGGAAGAAUAUACAAGGAGCUUGGUCCGACGGUGGAAAAUCUGAUUGCAACAGCUAAAUCACUGUAAAGCGAUCAUUGCAUUGCUCAACAGCCAAAUCUCCUUAAGUCACGCAUGAUAAGGACAAAGGGAAGAGGAGGAGGAAGAAGUAGAAGAUCCAAGUAUGUCAGGCUAUUGAGCAUCUAUACAUCAAGCUACAAGAUAUGAUGAAUUGUUACACGUCACUAUGUAACUAGUAGCAAAGCAUACCUCCUCCACAAUUACAAUAACAUCUACACUGACCUCACGCAUGACUAUCUCGGCCACAACUAUUGUGCCGUCACUUUUAGUAACCUCUCCAAAGGCAAUGAGGACUAUCGCCUUGCUUGAGCUCCUCAUGGGCUUCUU
This is an RNA transcript of Triticum aestivum (bread wheat), 1123 nucleotides long. It is a transcript of the gene named transketolase, chloroplastic, with no coding region annotated. The record is from RefSeq and is a predicted model, not a curated record. The transcript is spliced from 3 exons. Lineage: Eukaryota; Viridiplantae; Streptophyta; Magnoliopsida; Poales; Poaceae.